Molecule: small RNA, 28 nt
Filed under: Bombyx mori (domestic silkworm)
Lineage: Eukaryota; Metazoa; Arthropoda; Insecta; Lepidoptera; Bombycidae
Description: piRNA piR-bmo-2203091
Source: RNAcentral
UAAGAACAAUGGAAAAUGCGGUAGCUGC